This 253-nucleotide ribosomal RNA is filed under the name uncultured bacterium. RNAcentral's name for it is "partial 16S ribosomal RNA". It matches the Rfam family "Bacterial small subunit ribosomal RNA", at positions 524 to 776 of the family's 1533-position model. The record is from RNAcentral.
UACGUAGGUGGCAAGCGUUGUCCGGAAUUAUUGGGCGUAAAGAGCUCGUAGGCGGCUUGUCACGUCGGAUGUGAAAGCCCGGGGCUUAACCCCGGGUCUGCAUUCGAUACGGGCUAGCUAGAGUGUGGUAGGGGAGAUCGGAAUUCCUGGUGUAGCGGUGAAAUGCGCAGAUAUCAGGAAGAACACCCGUGGCGAAGGCGGCUCUCUGGAACGCAACUGACGCUGAGACGCGAAAGCGUGGGGAGCAAACAGG